This 1980-nucleotide ribosomal RNA is filed under the name Triticum aestivum (bread wheat). RNAcentral's name for it is "partial small subunit ribosomal RNA". Lineage: Eukaryota; Viridiplantae; Streptophyta; Magnoliopsida; Poales; Poaceae. The record is from RNAcentral.
AUGAAGAAAAUGAGAUCUCAUUCAGCAGAAGAUGCCUUCUCGAAGCCAAACAGGAUAGUGGUCCUAAAGCCAAGUCCUGGGAAACCUAACAGAGCACAUGCCAGGCUAACUCCCAGAUCAUCUCCAUUUGAACUGAUUCAGCGGACAGCCUUUCUUGGUGAUUUACAGGAUGGUACAUCCACCCUAGGAUGUACAGAAGUAUCGGGUGCUUCGGCUCAAUACCUGCCAGAAGAUCGACGGCGGCGGGAUGAGUCUCUACUGUCUUCUGUAUACUCAAAUGGGUAUAAUGGAGAUGAGAGCUCUUUAAGCAGGUCAGAAGGUGAUAACAUUGAUGAAGAUGGUGGUAGCCUAAGUGACUCGGAGGUAGUCAGUCCAGUGUCGCGGCAUUCAUGGGAUUAUAUCAAAAGAUAUAGCAGUACUUACUCAUCUUCAACUCAUAGCAGGGCAUCUCAUUCACAUUCAGCUGAGUCAUCUGUGAUCAAAGAAGCCAAAAGGCGACUUUCCGAGAGAUGGACAACGGUAGCAUGUGAUGAGAUCAGACAAGAAGUAAAGUUGCCAAGGACCUCAAGAACUCUGGGUGACAUGCUCUCCAUCAAAGAAACUGAGAAAGAGGAAACUGUUACUGUAAUAAACUCUGCUUCAAGUAGCCGGUCGUGUGGCACAAAAAAUGAGUUGGCCAUGCAAGCUAGUUCCGUAUCUACAUUAAGAGAGGAUGAAACCGGGGAGAGCUCUCCAAGAAAUUUAGCGAGAUCAAAAUCUCUCCCGGUGUCAUCAGCAAUGUUUGAUAACAUGGUGGUGUCUGCAAAUUCUGAAGGCUGUGAAACACCGAAGGUGGAUACAAGGCAAGGUAAAGGAAAAUUAUCAUUCAAGGGGAAAGUAUCAAGUUUUUUCUUCCCUAGAAGUAAAAGGCUGGCAGAGGAGAAAACUACCGUUCCUUCUGAUAGCGGUGAGAAGGUUCAAGUCACUUUUCUUGACGACAAGCGAUCAGAGACCAAUAGUGACCUUCAAUUUGAUGAGCAAAUAGCAUUUUGCAAGGACAAAGCUGACAAUUCCACCAUACAAACAAAUUGUUCUUUAAAUCAGGAGGAUGUUGGUUCCAUGGAAGCACCUGUGUCUUCUGACUGCCCUAGUGGAUAUACUGAUGAACCCGUAUCAAACGGUGGCCUAAAAUGCAUGCGUGAUCAGCCUAGUCCUACUUCAGUUCUGGAUGCAUCAUUUGAAGCUAGCAACACUAAUGAACCUGAAUCAUCAAGUAGUACCAGUGCCUGCAAUGAGAGAGCUGCCUUACGAUCUCGUGCAAUUGAGUCUGUUCCCCGCUCGUUAUCAUGCAAGGACACAUACUCACAUUCGCCAUUACACAUGCAUCAUCUGAAUUCCUCAAAUGCAGAGGAUAAUGAAUCAGAAUGUUAUGCCCUUGUACAGAAGAUACUAUCAUCUGCUGGAUUAGACAACCUACAAGUGAGUAUGGUUUUCACAGGUUGGCAUUUGGCCGAUUGCCCUCUUGAUCCCGCACUGUGUGAUAAGUUCCUGGACCGCAAGGAGGAGGCUGCUAAAUCGAGGGAGCGUAGGUCAAACCAAAAGCUUCUCUUCGAUUGUGUAAACAUGGCAUUGGUUGAGACUGGCCAGGAAGCCUUGCUAAGAACCUACCCAUGGGGUAAAGCAUGCUUCGGAGCACGGAGCGAGGCAUUGUCUCAAGAUUUAGGGGAAGAAGUAUGGAGCCAUGUGAGGGAUUGGCUGUACAGGGCGGAGAGGCUCGCGGCCAAUGAGUGUAGUGAUGCUGCAAUGAUGCUGGAAAGAAUCGUGCAUCAAGAGGUGGAAGGAGGAGGCUGGGUGAAAUCAGCGAGGUCGGAAGCGGAUGAGAUGACGAAACAGAUUGCAGAUGGCCUGUUGGUGGAGCUAGUCGGAGAAGCUGUGGCGGAUCUCGCAGUUUGUUUUCCACAGCAAGAUCUCGCAGUGCCAAUGCCAAUGCCAAAUCUGUAG